GUUUUUAUAAUUUAAAAAAAAAUAUUGAUUUUGUAAUUCAAAAAUAAGUUUCACUUUAAAAACU
RNAcentral lists this transfer RNA (64 nucleotides) under Cheumatopsyche brevilineata. RNAcentral's name for it is "tRNA-Thr". The record is from RNAcentral. Lineage: Eukaryota; Metazoa; Arthropoda; Insecta; Trichoptera; Hydropsychidae.